ACGAACGCUGGCGGCAGGCCUAACACAUGCAAGUCGAACGCUCCAGCAAUGGAGAGUGGCAGACGGGUGAGUAACGCGUGGGAACCUUCCCAAUGGUACGGAAUAGCUCAGGGAAACUUGAGGUAAUACCGUAUAAGCCCCUAGGGGGAAAGAUUUAUCGCCAUUGGAUGGGCCCGCGUCGGAUUAGCUAGUUGGUGAGGUAAUGGCUCACCAAGGCGACGAUCCGUAGCUGGUUUGAGAGAAUGACCAGCCACACUGGGACUGAGACACGGCCCAGACUCCUACGGGAGGCAGCAGUGGGGAAUAUUGGACAAUGGGCGCAAGCCUGAUCCAGCCAUGCCGCGUGAGUGACGAAGGCCUUAGGGUUGUAAAGCUCUUUUGGCGGGGACGAUAAUGACGGUACCCGCAGAAUAAGUCCCGGCUAACUUCGU
RNAcentral lists this ribosomal RNA (431 nucleotides) under uncultured bacterium. RNAcentral describes it as "bacterial SSU rRNA". It matches the Rfam family "Bacterial small subunit ribosomal RNA", at positions 29 to 506 of the family's 1533-position model. The record is from RNAcentral.